GCAAUCCCAGGUACUCGGGAGGCUGAGGCAGGAGAAUCACUUGAACCUGGGAAGCAGGGGUUGCAG
This 66-nucleotide non-coding RNA is filed under the name Homo sapiens (human). The record is from RNAcentral. Lineage: Eukaryota; Metazoa; Chordata; Mammalia; Primates; Hominidae.